This 1387-nucleotide ribosomal RNA is filed under the name metagenome. RNAcentral describes it as "bacterial SSU rRNA". It matches the Rfam family "Bacterial small subunit ribosomal RNA". The record is from RNAcentral.
AGAGUUUGAUCCUGGCUCAGGAUGAACGCUAGCGGGAGGCUUAACACAUGCAAGUCGAGGGGCAGCACGGGUAGCAAUACUUGGUGGCGACCGGCGGACGGGUGCGUAACGCGUAUGCAACCUACCUUAUACAGGGGGAUAGCCCGGAGAAAUUCGGAUUAAUACCCCAUGGAUCUAUGAAUACACCUGUAUUUAUAGGUAAAGCUCAGGCGGUAUAAGAUGGGCAUGCGUGACAUUAGCUAGUUGGUAGGGUAACGGCCUACCAAGGCUGCGAUGUCUAGGGGUUCUGAGAGGAUGAUCCCCCACACUGGUACUGAGACACGGACCAGACUCCUACGGGAGGCAGCAGUGAGGAAUAUUGGUCAAUGGGCGCAAGCCUGAACCAGCCAUCCCGCGUGCAGGAAGACGGCCCUAUGGGUUGUAAACUGCUUUUCUGUAGGAAGAAAUGUAGAUACGUGUAUUUAUUUGACGGUAUUACAGGAAUAAGCAUCGGCUAACUCCGUGCCAGCAGCCGCGGUAAUACGGAGGAUGCAAGCGUUAUCCGGAUUUAUUGGGUUUAAAGGGUGCGUAGGCGGGCAAAUAAGUCAGUGGUGAAAUCUUGCGGCUCAACCGUACGACUGCCAUUGAAACUGUUAGUCUUGAGUGUAGUCGAGGUAUGUGGAAUGUGUAAUGUAGCGGUGAAAUGCAUAGAUAUUACACAGAACACCGAUUGCGAAGGCAGCAUACCAGGCUAUAACUGACGCUGAUGCACGAAAGCGUGGGUAUCGAACAGGAUUAGAUACCCUGGUAGUCCACGCUGUAAACGAUGAUAACUCGCUGUUGGCGAUAUACAGUCAGUGGCUAAGCGAAAGCGAUAAGUUAUCCACCUGGGGAGUACGCUCGCAAGAGUGAAACUCAAAGGAAUUGACGGGGGCCCGCACAAGCGGAGGAACAUGUGGUUUAAUUCGAUGAUACGCGAGGAACCUUACCUGGGCUUAAAUGUAGAGUGCAUGAGAUGGAAACAUUUCUUUCCCGCAAGGGACUUUUUGCAAGGUGCUGCAUGGUUGUCGUCAGCUCGUGCCGUGAGGUGUCGGGUUAAGUCCCAUAACGAGCGCAACCCCUAUCGUUAGUUGCUAACAGGUCAAGCUGAGGACUCUAACGAGACUGCCGGUGUAAACCGAGAGGAAGGUGGGGAUGACGUCAAAUCAGCACGGCCCUUACGUCCAGGGCUACACACGUGUUACAAUGGUUGGUACAGAGGGCAGCUACCGGGCGACCGGAUGCUAAUCUCGAAAGCCAAUCACAGUUCGGAUUGGAGUCUGCAACUCGACUCCAUGAAGUUGGAUUCGCUAGUAAUCGCGUAUCAGCAAUGACGCGGUGAAUACGUUCCCGGGCCUUGUACACACCA